RNAcentral lists this ribosomal RNA (235 nucleotides) under uncultured bacterium. RNAcentral describes it as "partial 16S ribosomal RNA". It matches the Rfam family "Bacterial small subunit ribosomal RNA", at positions 118 to 353 of the family's 1533-position model. The record is from RNAcentral.
UGAGCAAUCUGCCCUUCUCAUCGGAAUAAGCGUUGGAAACGACGUCUAAUGCCGAAUACGACCUCCUUUCGCAUGAUCGGAGGUGGAAAGCUCCGGCGGAGAAGGAUGAGCUCGCGGCCUAUCAGCUAGUUGGUGUGGGUAACGCCCACAAGGCGACGACGGGUAGCCGGCCUGAGAGGGCGACCGGCCAUACUGGGACUGAGACACGGCCCAGACCUCCGUACGGGAGGNAGCG